Molecule: long non-coding RNA, 204 nt
Filed under: Carica papaya (papaya)
Lineage: Eukaryota; Viridiplantae; Streptophyta; Magnoliopsida; Brassicales; Caricaceae
Description: long non-coding RNA (CPAP_LNC005353)
Source: RNAcentral
CCAUACAACACCAACAGAUAUAAUCAUAUAAUCAUAUACCAUUCAACACAAACAAAUAUAACCAAUAAAUAUAAUCACAUACCAUACGAAUUCCAAUAUAUUGUUCAAUUAAAAAACUAAAAUAUCUCACAAGUCAUAAACCAUACAAAUGUCAUAGACAACACAAUUGGUUCAGUAAUCAAGCAUUAUAAGAAGCCCACACAU